This 253-nucleotide ribosomal RNA is filed under the name uncultured bacterium. RNAcentral's name for it is "partial 16S ribosomal RNA". It matches the Rfam family "Bacterial small subunit ribosomal RNA", at positions 524 to 776 of the family's 1533-position model. The record is from RNAcentral.
UACGUAGGUGGCAAGCGUUAUCCGGAUUUAUUGGGUGUAAAGGGCGUGUAGGCGGGAAAGCAAGUCAGAUGUGAAAACUCAGGGCUCAACCCUGAGCCUGCAUUUGAAACUGUUUUUCUUGAGUGCUGGAGAGGCAACCGGAAUUCCGUGUGUAGCGGUGAAAUGCGUAGAUAUACGGAGGAACACCAGUGGCGAAGGCGGAUUGCUGGACAGUAACUGACGCUGAGGCGCGAAAGCGUGGGGAGCAAACAGG